UUUCCAUUCCACUUUAACCUAAGAAAGCGCAGCGUUCGCAACGCAAACUUUUCCAAGAGAAUUCCUCAUUCGUAUAACGUUUUAACGUCUGGAACACCGACAUGGUGUGCAAAAUUUACGCUACUGCCGGGCUACUUCGAUACCUGAAGGACUCGUAAAUUAUGCCAAAGAAUUAUCGAUCCGGUUGCCCCACCAGCCUCGCUUCCCUGCACUGUGACGUGUCUGACUAUAUACGUACAAGUUCUACUCCAAAGUAGGCCCCAGCCAAGUUGCUCUUCACACACGGGCGUUGCUUUACUUUCCUCAUCUCACUAUCCUUUUUCGCUUCCUACCGCGAGAGUGCAUUUUAGUCCGACAUACCGCCAGCGAAAAUUCCCAUAACUCGGAGAAUUUUUAAAAUAAAAUCUGUUUCUUUCUCGCAAUAAUGAAAACAAAAAUUAGAAAUUUCCUCACUCAUGACAGGACAAUGAUAAAGUCGUUCAUAAAAUAAUUAAAAUAGGGGAGAAGAUGACAAAGAGACAAAAGAAAAUAUAUUCGGCGUAUUCGUCUCAUAAAUAAAUAAAGGACACAAAGGGAUUUCAUUUUGUGCCUAUCUCAUCUCUCUUCUGCACGAAAGAAAAAACUACUUGAAUCAGAUAAGAAAUCAAACAAAGACAAAAGCGUUGGUGAGGCUAUAUUCUCAUGAUAUACCUCACGCAGCAGCAUGAAUGCAGCCUGACUAAUAAAUUGAUGUGAAGAACUCCAUAAAAAUUUUACAUGGCCCAUGGCACCACGGAAUACUGAUAAGUGGAGCCAGAGUUCGGCAGUGGAAGUGUUCAGUAGUGAGGGUGAGGGAUGACGAGGGAUGAAGAAAUACCGGGUUGUGCUGAUGGCUAUUAAAAAGAUCGAAAUGCGCGAGCCAAAUGGCCAGCAAAAGUGCGAAUACUGAAUUCACAAAAGCCGUUAUAACUCCAUUGCUUUCUAUCGUUAAAAAAAAAUUUAUAAAACUUCAUGAGACAAGUGACAAUGAAUGUGACUGUACUUUUUUAAUUUUCAAAAAGAUAAAUUACGACAAAAAAUCAUUGAACUUUUUCAAUAAGUUCCAGAUGAGCAUGAUGCAGUGCCUAAAGUUGGUAAUAGUUAAAUAAUUCACUGGUAUAAAAGAAUAUUUAAAUUUCAGUUGAACUAAAGUGAGCAUAAAUUGUCAGGAAAAGAGGCAAGUUACCAUGGGCAAAAGUUUAGGACGAUAUGGAGGAAAAUGUAGACCACGUAUAAAGGAGUCGAGGGAAAAGGAAGAAAGUGAAUAAAAAGAGUAAAACUAUAAGGUCGAGUGGUAAGAUAUUUAUAAUUGAAAAGUACCUCGUGUCACAGUUGUGAAAACACGAGCUUUUUUUCGUUGUUGAUGUGUAAUCAGGUAGACUGCAGCACUGUUUGGAUGAAAAGAGAUAAGGUGGUGGACAAACAAUGCUGAAUUUGUCUUUAAUUAAUAACGAUGACGUGGUCGAGAGAUCUGGAGAGCUCAAAGUGAAGAUAGGUGUCUCUUCUGGGGGAGGGAAAUGGGAAGUGAGACGAGUGGAGGGCGCAAGGGAGGAGUUAGAAAAGGGGAACAAUGAGGUGAAAAUGAGAGAGAUAGUUAGUUGCCUGUCACUUCGUAAUUAACACCUAUUUCCCUGUUCGUCCUUUCGCUACCGGUGUAUGUCGGAGCGCCUAAUUGCCACAGGCCAGAGGUGCCAGCACAGCCAACGUCACCAGUAAAGGCCAGAAGGCUCCUCGGUCACGUGCCGCUCGAGCACCUCAAAUAAUUUUGUGGUUUAUGGGUAUGACGCUGUCAUGGCCCAGCACCUCCCCCCAUUUUUUUUUCAUAAAUAACAUGCCCAAUACUUCCGUCAUGGGAGUCUUUGUUCGUUAGCUCAGAUGAGUUAUCUUCGUUUUGACAAAUUUAAGUAAAUAAGCUGGUUAUCGUGACGGAAUCAUGAUUGCACAGCCGGACAAAUACAUGUCAAUAUUGACACACAUUUAUUUGUUGGUAUGUCACGCUGUUUAUGGGUCGAUCAAUAGCAAUGCCAUGUGAAAAAAAAUUGUCGUUGAUCUAGUACAGAUUAAAAUUGAUGUAGCGAAGAGACUGUCAUUAGAAAAAUACAAAUGGCUCAGUCAAUCCUCGCUGUUCCUUUCCACCCUCACCCCAACCCCCUUAACAUUGUACAGGACGUUUGAGGGUUGUCCUAUACCUAAAACGGGAUUACGUUCGUAAAUCUUUGAACGUAGCGAACUACAAGCAGAACGAAUCGGUGGUUCUACUUCACCAAACCGCUUUGUUCGCCAGCCCCGUGACCAGGUCUUCAUUCGUUUUUUUAACCUUUUUCCGGUUUGUUCCGACGACUGAAAAUAGAAGGUUGUAGACUUUUUUUUUAGUUCUCUGAGAUUUAACUCGACGUGACCUAUUGGCUCGGCAUUAGUUCAAAGUUCACCACAUUUCCUGACCCAGUCUGUCUCUUUUUUUUCCUUGAACUCUGAAUUUAAAUAUUGGUUCCUCUUUCGUUUCUUCGUCCACCCGUCGGUAAUGUGCAGUAUGACGAGGAAAUACCAAUAAUUAUUUUGAGCGUUCAUUGUCACAGUCAUUUUCACCUACUGUUUUAGUUGAAAAAUUUCAUUUUAUCCGGGAAAAUUAAAUCAAAUGACGCUGAAUCAAGUAAUGCAGUCCCGAUAGCUGGGGUAGCACUGCGAAAUUCAAUUUAUUGGAUAUACUGUUCACUGGAUCUUACAAUGAAAAAAAAAACUGACUGGGGGUAGCUCUUAUCCUAUUUUCCUCCGAGAAACUCUGACUUCUAUCACAAUGGGCUUCGGUGAAAUAAUACAUAAUGGAAUGGUUUCGAGACGAGUCAAACAUUUCUCCAAUCUUAACCGCGAAUAAUAAUUGAAAUAACGAUUCUGCAUCGAGUUCUCAUCGAGAAAUUCCAUCUGUUCGUGUUCGAUAAAAAAUUAGAGGAACAGUUGUAGACAAAUAGUGGUGGAUUCUGGGGAAAUUACUUGGAGGAUAAAAGAAAAUUCCCAGUUAUUAUUUCGGACGUCUGGUGAUGGUAGGACUUGAUAAGACUCGAAUUGGUUAUCGAUAAUGAAUAGUGACAAUAAUCUAUUUGAGGAUACAUUAUUUGAAUAAGCUACUUGACUUGUGUGAUGAUAUUAAUUUUCAUAAUUUGAAGAAUAAUCGAUAUUUAAAUGUUACUGUCACAUGUGCUAAAACCUCAACCACUUUAAACUGUCAAAUUUCCAUGCAAUUUUAACUUUUUUUAUCCCUCUGCUGCCUCAUAAAUUAUCGGGUGCUCUUUCUCUCUCUCUCAGAGUAUUUAUGUACAUAAAUACACGGGUUUAUGUCCCAUUUUAAACUACAAUAAAAAGAAAGAGAAAGGCUCUCACAAAAAAGGACACAAAGGACCACCAUAAACGCCAAAGUCUAGAGGAAGAAGGACGGAAGGAACGAAGUUUUCACCAAAAGUCCAAUAAAGGAAUGCAGGGAGUCCAUGGAUGAACUGACGGUCAACACGGAGAAGCAGAUAAUCCGGGUAUUAGAACAAUCUCCCACAUUAGACAAUGAAACGGCUGACGAGGUGGUCAGACUAUGAAAAAAAAAUCUUGUGCAUAUUUACUACCGACAAGUAAAGUUAAUUGGCAUUAACAUAGGGUCCUAAGUAAAUAUAUUUUGCCUGCAAUAAUUUUUCAGCUCGACGGAAUGCGAAAUCUUCAGGGAAUCCACAGGAAUAUACAAUAUAUUUGAACCCCCAUGUGAUCGAAUGAUGAGGUUUCUGUUGGGAGCCCUUAGAAUCAACAAUUGAAGUGUCCAAUUUAAUCUAGAGCCAUUAUUAAAAUAAAUAAACAAAAACAGUGAAAUUUGCCAUGGACUAGGCAGAGAGAAUAGUUAAAUGAUUUUGAAUAUCGAUAAAUUUGUCACAAUUCGAAAUAAUUUUUCGCUGACUGGAAAGUUGAUUGUUCAUAAAUUAUCGUUAUUCAAUAAUCAUUAGGGAAUGCUAUUGAAUUUAUUCGAUGACUGAUUUAGUUCUCCAAUCUAUAUUAAACCGAGUCACCUCGUCUCCGCUCAUAACGUGACCACCAUCUGCUAGCCAUCCCCAACCCUCCCUCCAUAAGUUUUUCGAAGAAAUCGCCACACAACGAUAAAAAACUUGCAACGAGUUUGCACGUCCUUAAUUGAUCACAAGCUCUACCAUUGAAUUCCCAUCCCCCGACAAUUGGCGAUCCACUGAGAAUUUCAAUCAAAUUAAAGAGAACGUGACGGGAUG
Molecule: long non-coding RNA, 4271 nt
Organism: Diachasmimorpha longicaudata
Lineage: Eukaryota; Metazoa; Arthropoda; Insecta; Hymenoptera; Braconidae
Exons: 4
Source: RefSeq, a predicted model, not a curated record